Molecule: ribosomal RNA, 391 nt
Filed under: uncultured bacterium
Lineage: Bacteria
Description: bacterial SSU rRNA
Rfam family: Bacterial small subunit ribosomal RNA
Source: RNAcentral
GACGAACGCUGGCGGCGUGCUUAACACAUGCAAGUCGAGCGGUAAGGCCCUUUCGGGGGUACACGAGCGGCGAACGGGUGAGUAACACGUGGGUGACCUGCCCUCAGCUCUGGGAUAAGCCUGGGAAACCGGGUCUAAUACCGGAUAUGACUCCAUGACGCAUGUUGUGGGGUGGAAAGCCUUGUGCGGCUGAGGACGGGCCCGCGGCCUAUCAGCUUGUUGGUGGGGUGANGGCCUACCAAGGCGACGACGGGUAGCCGGCCUGAGAGGGCGACCGGCCACACUGGGACUGAGACACGGCCCAGACUCCUACGGGAGGCAGCAGUGGGGAAUCUUGCGCAAUGGGCGAAAGCCUGACGCAGCGACGCCGCGUGAGGGAUGACGGCCUCGG